This 468-nucleotide ribosomal RNA is filed under the name uncultured bacterium. Its description in RNAcentral is "partial 16S ribosomal RNA". It matches the Rfam family "Bacterial small subunit ribosomal RNA", at positions 28 to 507 of the family's 1533-position model. The record is from RNAcentral.
GACGAACGCUGGCGGCGUGCUUAACACAUGCAAGUCGAACGGAAAGGCCCUGCUUUUGUGGGGUGCUCGAGUGGCGAACGGGUGAGUAACACGUGAGUAACCUGCCCUUGACUUUGGGAUAACUUCAGGAAACUGGGGCUAAUACCGGAUAGGAGCUCCUGCUGCAUGGUGGGGGUUGGAAAGUUUCGGCGGUUGGGGAUGGUCUCGCGGCUUAUCAGCUUGUUGGUGGGGUAGUGGCUUACCAAGGCUUUGACGGGUAGCCGGCCGUGGAGGGUGACCGGCCACAUUGGGACUGAGGUACGGACCAGUCUCGUACGGGGGGCAGCAGUGGGGAAUAUUGCACAAUGGGCGGAAGCCUGAUGCAGCAACGCCGCGUGCGGGAUCACGGCCUUCGGGUUGUAAACCGCUUUCGCCUGUGACGAGGCGUGAGUGACGGUAAUGGGUGAAGAAGCACCGGCUAACUACGUG